UCUAAGCACAUGCCUUUAUACGGUGAAGCCGCGAAUAGCUCAUUACAACAGCCACCGUUUACUAGAAUAUAGUUAUCCUACUUGGAUAACUGUGGCAAUUCUAGAGCUAAUACAUGCAAAAAAGCUCUGCCCGCAAGGAACGAGCGCAUUUAUUAGAAUAAAAACCAAUCGGGUUUCGGCCCGUAAUUUGGUGAAUCUGAAUAACUUUGCCAAUCGCACAGUCCUAGUACUGGCGAUGUAUCUUUCAAGUGUCUGCCUUAUCAACUUUCGAUGGUAGGUUAUACGCCUACCAUGGUAGUAACGGGUAACGGAGAAUAAGGGUUCGACUCCGGAGAGGGAGCCUGAGAAACGGCUACCACAUCCAAGGAAGGCAGCAGGCGCGCAAAUUACCCACUUCCAGAACGGAGAGGUAGUGACGAAAAAUAACGAGACAGUCCUCUUCGAGGUCUGUCAUCGGAAUGGGUACAAUUUAAA
Molecule: ribosomal RNA, 474 nt
Filed under: unidentified nematode Sourhope farm
Lineage: Eukaryota; Metazoa; Nematoda
Description: SSU rRNA
Rfam family: Eukaryotic small subunit ribosomal RNA
Source: RNAcentral